GGUUCUAAGGUGUAGUGGUCAGCACUCUGGACUCUGAAUCCAGUGGCUUCAGUCCAAAUCUCAACAGAACCU
Non-coding RNA from Oryzias latipes (Japanese medaka), 72 nucleotides. The record is from Rfam. Lineage: Eukaryota; Metazoa; Chordata; Actinopteri; Beloniformes; Adrianichthyidae.